UGGGGAAUAUUGCACAAUGGGCGCAAGCCUGAUGCAGCCAUGCCGCGUGUAUGAAGAAGGCCUUCGGGUUGUAAAGUACUUUCAGCGGGGAGGAAGGUGUUGAGGUUAAUAACCUCAGCAAUUGACGUUACCCGCAGAAGAAGCACCGGCUAACUCCGUGCCAGCAGCCGCGGUAAUACGGAGGGUGCAAGCGUUAAUCGGAAUUACUGGGCGUAAAGCGCACGCAGGCGGUAUGUCAAGUCGGAUGUGAAAUCCCCGGGCUCAACCUGGGAACUGCAUUCGAAACUGGCAGGCUAGAGUCUUGUAGAGGGGGGUAGAAUUCCAGGUGUAGCGGUGAAAUGCGUAGAGAUCUGGAGGAAUACCGGUGGCGAAGGCGGCCCCCUGGACAAAGACUGACGCUCAGGUGCGAAAGCGUGGGGAGCAAACA
Molecule: ribosomal RNA, 427 nt
Filed under: uncultured bacterium
Lineage: Bacteria
Description: partial 16S ribosomal RNA
Rfam family: Bacterial small subunit ribosomal RNA
Source: RNAcentral